GUCGGAAGAAGCACAGUUCGAACCUUCUUAUCACUUCUGGUCUAAACAUGCUCUUGUACAAAUGCAGACUAAGUGGCACCUAAUAUUCUAAGUUACACACAUACAGAGAAAAGCCAUUUCAUAAGCACAUGAUUCAUACAUUCUUAAGUAAUUAACAGUGUUUGCAAAUUAUCUCCAUCAGAUAUGAUCUCACUGGCUUGGAACCGCUCACGGCUGGCACAUGAGUCCAAUGGAUGAGCUGGGAUUAACUUCCAGAACCCAAUUCAGACUACUCUCCUCCCAC
This is a ribozyme of 283 nucleotides. It matches the Rfam family "Nuclear RNase P". From Rfam's summary of the family: Ribonuclease P (RNase P) is a ubiquitous endoribonuclease, found in archaea, bacteria and eukarya as well as chloroplasts and mitochondria. Its best characterised activity is the generation of mature 5'-ends of tRNAs by cleaving the 5'-leader elements of precursor-tRNAs. The record is from Ensembl.